UUUUCUCCCCGUUUUCGGCCUAAGUGAGUUCUCCGCCGUCCCUCAUCGUUUUUGAGCUUCUUCCUUCGAAUCUUCAUGAUUUUCUUAUGAGUUUUCACUUGGUUUUGAAGAUUUCGAGUUUAGAUCGAAGUUGUGAAGCUUGGAGACCUCAGGAACCCAUCCUCCCUAAAUCUCCAAGUUAGGUCACACUCUCUCUCGAUCUUCAAGAGGUAAGAGUCGAUCUUGAGCUCAUUCUAU
RNAcentral lists this long non-coding RNA (237 nucleotides) under Manihot esculenta (cassava). RNAcentral's name for it is "long non-coding RNA (MESC_LNC012016)". Lineage: Eukaryota; Viridiplantae; Streptophyta; Magnoliopsida; Malpighiales; Euphorbiaceae. The record is from RNAcentral.